Molecule: long non-coding RNA, 2118 nt
Organism: Oryctolagus cuniculus (rabbit)
Lineage: Eukaryota; Metazoa; Chordata; Mammalia; Lagomorpha; Leporidae
Source: RefSeq, a predicted model, not a curated record
UGACUGCAAAGUAGCUAUGCCACCAGUUUCAGCAGAAACAACAUUUGGUCUUCAAAACACAAAGCGACACUUCCCUUAAUGUGUGUUGUAGUGGAAACUCCUUGCAGAUCAGAAAUACUGGACUUUUUGACAAGUGAUCUAAAAGACUUCAUUGAAGAGAAUAUUCACUAGACAUAAUUAUUGCUCUCAUUAUUGCUGCUGGACUAAAUCAAAGGACCUGGAUUGUCAGGACAUUAUUGCUCAGAGAAGCUCUGGGUGGAGGAAUUCCAAGGGCUUCAUCUGGGUGCUUCUAAUACCUGCAAAAAGCUGUAAUUCCAACAACAGUGUACAAAGAUAAUAAAAAUCUUUCAUCAGCAAAACACAUCAGAUAUUAUUUGAAGUUGGAUGAGAAGGACUCUAGAUGUCAGGAACAGAGCCUGGAAAGGAGUCAGACUAUUUACUAUCAGAUCUCUUUCUUUUUUCUUUAAUACUGUGAUUGACUUCCUCUGCUCCUCAGCUCCUGCGCCGGAUGUAAGAGGUAUACCUUUUGCCCUUAGAUCCUAGGCUAAACACACACACACAGCUGAUAGGCUCAGCUUUGUUCAGGAAUCCACAUUUAGAUCUAGCAAUUCGGCUUACGAGGACAGAGUAAUCUAACAGUUAUUUUUCAAUUGUCUUACAAUACAAGGCUUCAUACUUUCAGGUUUCCUCUACAAGUUUGAGGAAAUAGCCAUAGUCUAAAUGCUGAAUUACAAAAAGCAAAACCAAAGUAAAUGACAAAAAUAUAAUUAGAAAAAAAACACUCUACAAAAUAAAGCUUUUGCAAGUAACACAGCUGCUUGACACUGCACAUGCAGUUAAUAAAUAUUUGACCCAGUCAUGCUAUUUGAAUACAUAGGUACAUAUAAAAUAUAUGGAAAAUAUAAUUUUAAAAACUUUAUUUUGGUAUAAAAUUUUUUAUAUCCAUGUGUACUACACAUUUUUGAAUAUCCUUUGUAUGGAUGGAUUUCAAAUUUUUUUGCACCAAAAUAAACAUAUUUAAAUCCAUUUUCAAUGAACUUUUUGAAGAACUCUUCUAUAUAUACAGCCACACAUAGACACACACACACAAAUGGACAUAUUGUAAUUUAUGUUGUUUGUUUUUAAAUAUUUCAUAAAAAUAAGAACAUGAUAAAUGCCUAUUAAGUAUCUACAGUGUUCCAGGGAGUGUUCAAAGCUUCUAGAGAAAAAAAGAGCCACUUAUGUUUAUUUCUGUUGAGGAGUAAUACCUUCCUAUUAUUUUGUAUAUUUAAAUGUAGAUGGGUGGACAGACAGCUUAGUACCUCUUUGCAGAAAGCGUUUUGGGUAGUAUAUGUGACUCUGUACUUACACUUUUACACAUUAUGCGCUUGCAUAGGCAGUCCUUUUCACAUUAAUAUCCUCUAUGAAAGUUAAGUCAAGGGGCCGGCGGCAUGGCAUAGUGAGUAAAGCUGACAUCUAUAGUGCCGGCAUCCCAUAUUGGCCGAGGUUCGAGUCCUGGCCAUUCCACUUGUGAUCCAACUCUCUGCUAUGGCCUGGGAAAGCAGUAGAUGAUGGCCCAAGUCCUUGGUCCCCUGCACCCAUAUUGGAGACCUAGAAAAAGCUCCUGGCCCCAAGCUUGGGAUCGGCCAAGCUCCGGCCAUUGCGGCUAUUUGAGGAAUAAAUCAGCACAUGGAAGACCUCUCUCUCUCUCUCUCUCUCUCUCUCUCUCUGCCUCUGCUUCUGCCUUUAAAAUAAAUAAGUUAGUCUUUUAAAAAAAAUUUUAAGAAAGUCAAGCAAGAAUGAUGAGAGGGCCUGGCGCUGUGGCAUAGUGGGUAAAUCCGCCGCCUGCACUGCCGGCAUCCCAUAUGAGCUCCAGUUCGAGUCCCGGCUGCUCUACUUCUGAUCCAGCUCUGUGCUGUGGCCUGGGAAAGUAGUGGAAGAUGACCUAAGUCCUUUUGUCCCUGCACCCGUGUGGGCAACCUGGAGGAAGCUCCUGGCUCCUGGCUUUGGAUCAGUGCAGCUCAAGCCAUUGCAGCAAUUUGGGGAGUAAACCAGCAGAUGGAAGACCUCUCACUUUUUCUCUCUGCCUAAGACUCUCUGUAACUCCUUGUCUUUCAAAUAAAUAAAUAAAUUGCUAAA